AAUAUGCCAUCAAUAUGACAAUACUAUGACAUAAGGCAUUUCAGUAUAGUAGCUGAAGUUACCCAAUAUUAUUAUGCCGAGGGUUUUCCAACUUUAUUAAGUAAGAGGGUUGACGAAAAAAGGGUAUACUGAAUGAAAUAUAUAUUUUCAGCAACAAAUUGAAAAAGAUAUUUUAAAGAGAGAAAAGUGAGUUUGUUUCUGUUACUGUGACAUAUUUUUCUGAUUAGGUUCAACAUUGUGCCAGGAACGAAAUAGAGCCAGCCAGCAAGGCUUAAAAAAGUUGUUUGGCAAAAAUAAUCCCACAUCGUAUUUAGAGAGAACUUUAUCAGUUUCUAUAAUUUGUUGACAUGAAUUGAAAAGAAACUCGUGAUCCUUCAGGCAAUUACGGGGAAACGAAGAUUGGUAACGACAAUCUGGGCACUCUUCCUGUUCCAAUCUGAUCCCUCUGCCGAACAACUAAAAUUCAAACUAGUAUUUUUGGAAUGUCAUUUGCUUUUUUAUUAUUUAUUAAUUAUUAGAAGGUCGUUAUUUAUUAUUUUAUGUUUUUCGUUGUGGUCGUAUCCUGAUUGGCGGGGACAUAAUUUUUUUAAUUUAGUCGAAUAAUGUCCCUUCACCUCAUUUAUCAUGAAAUUUCUUGUUAAAAAUUUUAGCCCGUUCUUAAGGAGUCAGUUCUGGUAUUGGAAAUCGCCAGCUCAUUCUUGCUUUUGCAUCAGCACUGACGACGCCUCUUUAGGCUUGGCAGCCAUGGCGGGCUGUAGAGGAGUUACUCGGUGUCUUGCAGAUAUAUUGCAAGUCAGACUCAAUCCAAAAUGAUCAUCUGAAAAUGUUUCUCAGGACACCAGUGAUGAAUAUUUCAGCCAAAAAAAGGGAUUACUUGCUCAUAAUGGUCGGUAACAAGGUGUUAGAAACCAAUUCUUUUCAGGGUAAUUAUUAUGAGAUAGUCUAUCCCAAGUGUUAAGAUAAUAUAGCCAACUGAGCUAAUGAAAUAAAAACUAAAACAAGAAUUUGAAUACCACGUAUUAUUUGACAAAAAUUCGGGGAAAGUUGGAAUUUUAUGUCAUAAAGUUCUAA
This is a non-coding RNA of Cicer arietinum (chickpea), 1071 nucleotides long. Lineage: Eukaryota; Viridiplantae; Streptophyta; Magnoliopsida; Fabales; Fabaceae. The record is from RefSeq and is a predicted model, not a curated record.